This is a long non-coding RNA of Homo sapiens (human), 409 nucleotides long. RefSeq lists it as uncharacterized. The record is from RefSeq and is a predicted model, not a curated record. The transcript is spliced from 2 exons. Lineage: Eukaryota; Metazoa; Chordata; Mammalia; Primates; Hominidae.
UGGCGGUUUGUGGCUAAGUGUAGGGGACGAAGAUGCAGUAAUCUAAGGAGAGCUGGGCACCUCUUUGCCUCUCAACCACUACAGCACCUGCAACCUCCUUCAGAGGACUGGAGCUUCAUCAGCUGCAUGAGCAGAGCUGCAAGUGCCUGGGAGUUUAUGCCCUGACCCCAGCCCCCAAGCAGCCUGAAGCCAAUGAUGUCUUGUGCAGGAGUAGGAAAGCUCAGCUCCCUCAAGCGAGGACAAGCUCUAAGGUGCAACCCACACUCUGAAGCCCUCCACAGGAUUAGGCUGAGGCUGAGACUUCACUGGAAAUCCCAUCCUUCCCUGGCUUCUGCCCCUUCCCUGGCCUGCUUCCCCCACUCCCUAGUUCUCCUGGAAGUCCUUCCCCAAUAAAUUAUCAGCAUGCGGA